AGCUCCACUAGCGUAUAUCAAAGUUGUUGCGGUUCAAAAGGUCAUAGGUGGAUUUUCUGUCGAGGACGACCGGUUCGCCCCUUGGGUGCAUAUUUGGCCAGGCCUGGGCAUCUGCUUGGAGAACGUGUCUGCACUUGACUGUGCGGUGUGGUCUCCAGGGCUUUUACUUUGAGGGAAUUAGAAUGUUUCAAGCAGGCAUACGCCUUGAAUACAUUAGCAUGGAAUAAUAAGAUAGGACCUCGGUUCUAUUUUGUUGGUUUCUAGAGCUGCGGUAAUGAUUCAUAAGCAUAAUUGGGGGCA
This 300-nucleotide ribosomal RNA is filed under the name uncultured eukaryote. RNAcentral describes it as "SSU rRNA". It matches the Rfam family "Eukaryotic small subunit ribosomal RNA", at positions 587 to 890 of the family's 1831-position model. The record is from RNAcentral.